UAAAAGGUGAAGGCUGGCGGCCGGCGGCGGCUGCGCGGGCCACAUGACGAGGUCUGGCGGGCCGGAUUCGGCCCGCGGGCCUUGUGUUUGACACCCGUGAUGUAGAAGACCUGUAUUCUUUGGUAUUUCUCUGAGGC
This is a long non-coding RNA of Bufo bufo (common toad), 137 nucleotides long. RefSeq lists it as uncharacterized. Lineage: Eukaryota; Metazoa; Chordata; Amphibia; Anura; Bufonidae. The record is from RefSeq and is a predicted model, not a curated record. The transcript has 5 exons.